GGAACCUCACUUUUUUUCUGAGGUCUGCUGCAGGCGCGAAGGUAAUACUUUCCAGAUGCAUGCAUCGAAGGAGGUCUUGGUGCCACAGUUGGCGAUCGUGCUCGGCAACGAAGUAUCUCUUACUAACCUCCAGCGAGAGUGGGCCGCGUUUCCACAUGGGGUCUCCUAUACAGAAUUCCGACAACUGCUUGAGCCGCAUGUCAGGCAGCACCCCAGCCCUGGUGCAUCGACGAACGCGAGUGUUGCUCUCCUGCAUUCAUGGACCCAGCCUAGUUGUGGCAUCUCUGCCUCCUCGCCCUCCGCAUCUGUAAUCCGACCCGCUCGACCUCAGCGAGCGCACGCCACUGCUCCAGUGACACUCGCCGCCGCCGCCGCCGUCGAUGACGCCGGCACCAAUCGGGAGGCGGAACGAACCCGCCGUAUCCGCAGUCGGCAGGAGAUAGCUGGGGUCACGACACGCCCCGUCGAACCCAUGAAGCACCUCUUCAACCGUGUCAACAUCCAUAAUCAACAACGCGUCACGUGGGAGAACUUUGUGAACUACCUGGUCGCCGAGGCGAGCACUGACACGACAGGAACAAGGCUCAGCAGCAACACCUUCAAUCAGUUUACUUUCUCGCGGCGGCUGCGGAGCCAAUCCAAGCACUCACAGAAGCAGCAGAAGCCAAAGAGGAGCACCUCCGCCGAGACACUCGCAUUCAAGCGCUACUGUCGCGGCGUCCAGGAAGUCCCUAAAGCAGCUCGCACGUCUGCCGACCGAGAGGGCGACGCUGGACGCGGGCACGCUGCAGUGGGCGUUCGCGAGGACGAGGAUCUCGGCCUCAUUCGCUUCCUCGACGGCAUGCCUGAACACAAGUCGCUUUUCUUUGCGUCUACCCGAAGCUGCCCUUUCAUGCUUUAUUCGAAAAACACUCUCGAGCGUGUCUACUCGGCACCACCGAAUAUGCUCCCGGGAGUGAUCCCCUCGGCUGUUUGUUACCUGGCUGCGCACGACCUGUUCGUGUGCUACUCUCCGGACGAUCGACUGCUGCGUGGUUGGGGUGCGCUCCUCUCGAACACCCUCACGGUCACGACGAUCACCCCACUGCUGCUGGAGGGUUUAGUGCGUCGCAUCCAGGUGAUGCCGCGCGAAUCGCCCACCUACGGCGAUUACAUGGAGACGGUCUUCCUCGGCAACAGUCUUGGGCAGGUGCUGCGCGUCACGGCACCUCACGGGCGCAGCGGUGGGAUGGAGUUCACAGUGGCGCAGACUUACGCCAAUCUUCACACGCGCAAAUCCGGCGGCCUUGUCGACUUCUGCGUGUACGGGGUGCACCUGUACUCUUCCGGCUUUGACGGGAGACUCGUGGCGACAUCUCUGCUCACGGGGAAGUCAUUCGACCUUGGUAGGGUUGCAAAUGAGCAUUUGACCACGCUUGUGUACGUCGCAGGGCACGACUGGGUGGUGGCAGCGACCUCGUGUGGGCGCCAGCUGCUUUGGUGGGAGGCGCACUCGCACGGGACUCUGCCUGGCACGCUAUUCGACGUGGCUGGCCACGGCGAACACAAUGCAUGCAUCAUCGCACUCGUUUAUGUGGCGGCAGCGGACCAGGUGGUGAGCGCCGACUGCGAGGGCGUCGUGAAGGUCUGGGACGCGUCUACGCAGCGGUGUGUGCAGUCGUUCCGAAGCAGUCGCGUACCGCAGCGGCACAAGGGUUCGCUCUGCAGUGUGCUGGCGAAUGAGGCGAAGGCGUCGUCAGCCAACACGCGCACCGCGGCACACGCCGGCAGUGGACUGCUCGCCGGCAAUCUUGCAGGCCUCUUUGCCAAUCUCGGACUGCUUGCCUUGCUGCCGGCUGGUGCGGGGCAGGCGAGCCACGUCGGCGGCCCCCAGUGCCACAGCUUGAUUUACUGCGCGUCGACGCAAGAGCUGCUCUGCGGCUUCUCCAACUCCAUCGUCUGCUGGGGGCUGCACAGUCGCGACAGCCCACUCGCGUGUGACGCGGAGGAGGUGUGCUACGAUGUCUUCUAUGACAUUCGGACCAGCACGUUCCUAGUGCAGGGCGCAACGCGGCUUAGCGUGUGGGAUGGCGUACACGGGUACCGUCGCGGUGUGCUGAGUCAGGUGACGGAGUCCGGCAUAUCGCAAGUCGGCGCCGAUAUCAAAGCGGUGUGCAUUGACGAGCUUGGCAGCCGCGUGUUUAUAUCACUGAGCGACGGGAGAGUUGUGUGGCACACGACGCAGAAGCUCGCGUCGGAUGCCUCACAAUGCACACCCGCCACGGCAGCAGUCUGGUGGCAGGCCAAGUCUUCUGGCUCUGGCGCCGAGGCGAGUGGGCCUCCGUUCGUGGAGCAGAUGCACUACUCCUCGAUCUCGCGCACCUGGAUCGCCAUCACCUCCAAUGGGACACUGCUGGUGCGAUCGGAGGAGGACAAUCAGGAGGUCGGCUUUUCGGCCACCAUUUCCGUUUCUGCGUCGCCCUUGAUCCAACUGCGCGUGUCGGAGGAGCUGGGGCUUGCCGCCGUGACGGAUACGCAGCGCACUGUGUACAUAUACGACAUGCAGGCGUGGAUGGACGCGCCAGUUACGAAGAGGCUUGCCGUGUACGGCGGUCUUGUGGAUCUGAUUUUCCUCGACAGUGCACCAGCGUUGGUGACGGUGCACGCCGGUGGCGUUUGCCGAUGCUGGUCAUGCGCGCCAGCGGUGGAGCGGUUCAAGCUGCUGAGCGCAUUUUGCCAUCCACAGCAUCCCACCCCGAAACUCGCUACAGCCGCCACCGUGGAGACAGAGCGGGCGUGGAUGCAGGUGAUCGGGCGGACGCACCUUGCCAGCGCGGGGACGACGCGAGGACGGCCGCACAUGCAGUCACCAGCCACGUCACCAUGCUAUCACACAAUUGCGGCCCUACCCACUGGCAUUCACAACACCUUGCAGAUAGCUGGCACGAGCGCAUCGCCGCUUGGGGUCGUGCUGCCUAAGCUCGCCUGCUUCUCUCGCCCUGGCUCUGCAUGCGUUGCAUCAGGACCGGCCACGCCGGCGCUGUGCGCAUCGCAGCGCGGCUCGUUAAAUCCGCUGCGACUGGGGUCGGUCCUUGAGCGAACCUCAGCCGAUCAGACUGAGGUUUCGGGUGAGGGCGCAUCGUCCCUCAUGAAGCUCCCCAUGUUUACGGGAAGGCCGGCCACCGAGGCACUGCGAGACACUAGAGCUGGCGAUGGCUGGACUGCGACCGCGACGACCCCGACCGCAUCCGUCGAGUUCACCUCCGCGGCUUACGACGGGCGGCAACAUCACUUGUUCCUUGGCGACUCUGAGGGUGUCGUGCACACCUAUAGCAUGUGCCCUCUUCUCCAAGCGUACACGUUGCCUCGUUGCUCCCAUGCGAGCCGGCCAGCGUUCUCGCUGACAGGCGCGACGGAAUUCACUGGAGCGGAUGCCGACGACGGUUUUGCAGUCCCGAAACUGGUGCGGUCGGUGCAAGUGCACUUGCACCAUAGUACCGCAACAGAGCCAGAUGCAGAGGCCCGCGCAGGUUGCACGUAUCGCGACAAUAUGUCGACAGCGACCCGGCGCGAUAAUGAUCGGUGCGGUGUGGUCUGCGUGCGGUGGCUGGACGAUCGUGGUGUGCUCGCUACCUCUGGCUACGACCAGGAGGUGUGGUUCCUCGACUGUAAUACAGGAGAAAAGGUUGCCUGCUUGUCGACAGAGCGGCGACUUUCUGGAGCCGAUCGCGCCCACCAGCCCCUGACGGCUUCGAGUCAGCAACACAGGGAGCUGAUGCAAGAGUCGACGGUCCUGAGUGGGGUGCGCAACGGGCACAGGGCCGAGGGUGCCAGCACGCUGCCCUCUCAAAGUAUCUUUAGUCUGCCACAGCCGCCGCGCCACGAUGAUUGGAACGACGACAGCACCGCUGCCUUCCUCACAGGCGCAUCGCAGCUGCGCUGCUGCACGCACAGCAGUAGAAACGAGGACGCGCCCGCGACAGAGGAGGGCGGAGGGACCCUGUCGCCGGCGCCAUGGGGGCAAGAGGAGGGUGGCGCGUUGGCUACCUUGCCGAAUGCACGAUGCACACCGGUGAACUCCCACGGGCCGGCGUCUUCUGUAGGCCAGAGAUACUCGUCUUCCAGCACCCUCUCUCGCUACUCGAUCCCGGCGUUGAUCGCGACGGCUAAGCACGACCGCGCACCGACGGGGCCGAAGGACGGCAUACAGGGGCCGAUGGACCAGCGCGGCAGCCCUCUCGUGCGCCCCUCAUCGUGCUCACCGACAAAGGAACAAGCGCUUUCCAACGACGCGCCUCGUAGUUGGAGACCCCUCUCACAUUACAACACGUCAUUGCUCGCCAGCAGCCCGCUCGAGAGGGGCGACAGCCCACGAGACGCUGCGUCUGCGGCGAUGAGCGCGUCGCGCACUUCCGACUGCGACGGUGGCAUGCAGAUUCACAUCGCAGACUGGCAGAAGCGCGACCUGAUGGCGAUGCGCGAGUCGCGGGGCGUGAAGCCGCACGCGCCGGUGCAGCCGGGCUUGCACAACACGCUGGUGCACGUGGAGGAGAGCAAGUGGCACACUGCGGAAGCGACGGGGCAGCCCGUUCUUUUGGGUGCAGCCGAUGGUGUCUCCAGGCAUGUGGCGCGAACUGCCACAGCAGCAGCGGCAGCCCCGGCAGUCACAGGCGCUGCGUCCCCACAAACCGAAGCGGCAUCUGCGUCGAGCGCCCUGAGCCUGACAACGAAUAUGGCGACGUCGAACAGCCUCCGAAUCGAAGCGGCAGCGAGGGCGGCAGAGACAAGCGGCAGCAUCGGCUCCUUCGGCGUCAAGGGAGUCCCGGCGCUGAUAGAGUCCUGCGGGGCUCUGAACAGGGCUUCGUGCAACAGUACCAGCAUCGCCGAAGCGCUAGCGCUGUGCGUCUCCGGAUGUGCGCUGACCACCUCCGCUGUUGACGCGGACAGAAACGCAGCGGCACAGCAGCAGCAGAAGCAGCCGCACCUACCACAAGGAGCACACGGGGGGAGAAUCAGACCCGAUUCAGAGAGCAGCUCCGCUGUGCCGCGCCACGGGAGCCCUUCACGAGUGCCGUUCGCGCAGCCAUCGGCACCCGGACACCGCACAUCUACUGACGCGCUGCCACCUCCCAAGAAGGCCCUACGGAAAGAUGGCAGUGGAGGGAUGACUUCUUCCUCGACGGCGUUGGGCGUCACGGCGUGUUCCCUUUCCCAGGACAUCGCAGCGCGGGCCCAAUCGUUCACUUCUGCGAAUGCUCUGUGCCUACCGCCUAUGCUGGCCUACAGCAACGAGUGUGAGGGGAGAUUAACGUUGGAGAUGUACUCUAGUGAACUCCGUCGGUGCCUCCGGCGACCGCGUCGAUGGCACGAUACGUAAACAGUGUGUGCGUGUGUGUGUGUGUGCGGAGGGAUCCAGCUGCAACUUAUAGGUGCGCUGCUGAUUGCAUUCGCCGCUGCGCACCUUUCACCUCGUCUUCCCCUCCCCCUUUCUCAUUGUCGUGGCUCCCUUUUCGUUUCUUUUCCUUGUUGCAGCUCCGCUGUCUUUCGCUUUGUUUAUGUUUUUUUUUUUUUUGCAUCCGGAGCGCGCUGUCCCACCCCCUCCCCCUUUUUUCCUCUCUCGCGCUCCAAAACUCAGAAUUGACAGUGAGCGACGCAAGUAUAUGUUCACAUAUAUGUAUAUAUGCGUAUAUGCUGAUGAUCAUGUAUACCAGCCACCGCAUCAGCACCAGUGUUCUGUGUAUAUCUGGCAGACGCGUAAUUCUACUUCUCGUUUUUGUCGUCCUCCUUGCACCCCUUGUACAUCAUGUAUAGUCCCAUCCCCACCCACCCCUCCCUCCUGCGCCUACUUUCGCCUUCUUCAUUUGGCCUCUGCCUCAUUUCGGCGUGUGUUUCCCAUGUAGCCCUUUUUUUUUUACCUUGUCCGACCCUCCUCUUCCUCCUUGACUUCCCCGAUGCACAUGACUUAAUCCAAUGCUAGUGUCUCUUGCAUUUGAUGUUUGUCUUUCAUGGUGCGAGGCACUGCUCAGUAAAUGAGGGGCAGUGGAUGGGGAAUACGAAUGGUAUAGGCCCGAUGCAUUACAGCAACAU
This 6066-nucleotide unclassified non-coding RNA is filed under the name Leishmania donovani. RNAcentral describes it as "gene:LdHU3.35.4150(CDS-product:hypothetical_prote in_conserved)". The record is from RNAcentral. Lineage: Eukaryota; Euglenozoa; Kinetoplastea; Trypanosomatida; Trypanosomatidae.